Molecule: ribosomal RNA, 403 nt
Filed under: Fusobacteriota bacterium
Lineage: Bacteria; Fusobacteriati; Fusobacteriota
Description: Fusobacteria bacterium partial 16S ribosomal RNA
Rfam family: Bacterial small subunit ribosomal RNA
Source: RNAcentral
UGGGGAAUCUUGCACAAUGGGGGAAACCCUGAUGCAGCGACGCCGCGUGAGCGAUGAAGGUUUUCGAAUCGUAAAGCUCUGUCCUAUGGGAAGAUAAUGACGGUACCAUGGGAGGAAGCCCCGGCUAACUACGUGCCAGCAGCCGCGGUAAUACGUAGGGGGCGAGCGUUGUCCGGAAUUACUGGGCGUAAAGGGUUCGCAGGCGGCAUGGCAAGUCCGAUGUAAAAGGCGAAGGCUCAACCUUCGUAAGCAUCGGAAACUGUCAAGCUUGAGUGAAGGAGAGGCAAGUGGAAUUCCGAGUGUAGCGGUGGAAUGCGUAGAUAUUAGGAGGAAUACCGGUGGCGAAGGCGACUUGCUGGACUUCAACUGACGCUGAGGAACGAAAGCGUGGGUAGCAAACAGG